AAAAUUAGAGUGUUCAAAGCAGGCAGAUCCAAUUUUCUGCCACCGAAUACAUUAGCAUGGGAUAAUGGAAUAGGACCCUGUCCUCCUAUUUUCAGUUGGUUUUGGCAGCGCGAGGACUAGGGUAAUGAUUAAUAGGGAUAGUUGGGGGCAUUAAUAUUUAAUUGUCAGAGGUGAAAUUCUUGGAUUUAUGAAAGAUUAACUUCUGCGAAAGCAUCUGCCAAGGAUGUUUUCAUUAAUCAAGAACGAAAGUUAGGGGAUCGAAGACGAUCAGAUACCGUCGUAGUCUUAACCAUAAACGAUGCCGACCAGCGAUUAGGAGACGUUGAAUACAAAACACCACCAUCGGCGCGGUCGUCCUUGGCGUCUCGGUUUCGGCCGGGGCGCGGGACGGCUAGCCCGGG
RNAcentral lists this ribosomal RNA (401 nucleotides) under Acanthamoeba sp. RNAcentral's name for it is "SSU rRNA". It matches the Rfam family "Eukaryotic small subunit ribosomal RNA", at positions 762 to 1116 of the family's 1831-position model. The record is from RNAcentral. Lineage: Eukaryota; Discosea; Longamoebia; Acanthamoebidae.